Molecule: long non-coding RNA, 707 nt
Organism: Clarias gariepinus (North African catfish)
Lineage: Eukaryota; Metazoa; Chordata; Actinopteri; Siluriformes; Clariidae
Exons: 3
Source: RefSeq, a predicted model, not a curated record
CCGAAAGUAGAAAUUAAUCUCAAACUCGCAUCCAUCCUCUGUGAAUCUCCCAAACUGUGUGACUUAAGGACCAAUUUAAGCUCCCUGCUCCGAUCCGCAACAUACCAUGAUGAAGUAAUGUGUCAUGAACUUGGACACCAUGCUAUAUAGAAGAAGUGACAGGAGGAAAACGCCUUUGUCCCUGACUGCCAUAUUUCUCCUCAUGCCAAGAGAUCUCCAGUGCCAUCUGGGGGAUAUGGGGCACCGUGCCCAUGCCACCGGCGAUGAAACCCCUUCAUCUCCCUGGAGCUUUGGCACGAUGAAUGAGGAAGGCAGGGAGGCCAUCUUGAGGGAGAUCUCAUUGAAACAGCUAAGAUGGCUGGACUGGCACACGAGAAUUGGAUGGGUAUUAAACUGCGCAUUCUUGGCUUGAUAACGGCAGCAGAGGACAAUGGAAAAUACGAUGCAUCUCUUUGAAUUGUUUUUUUCUGAAAAAAACAACAACCAUAUUUGUAUUGAGAAAAUGUCCUAAUAUUGACAAUCAAAUGUAUACAUCAGUGCAUGCUGUGCGUUAGUAGGAACUAUUGACCUACAGUAGGGUUUUAAUUUAAUUUAAUGUUUGUAUUCUGUGUAUUAGACUGUAAUUUGUUUGCUCUGGAAAACAAAAGCAUUUUACAUAAUUUGUAUGUUGUUCACUCUGUUUAAUGUAUUAAAAGCUAUUUCAGAAA